RNAcentral lists this ribosomal RNA (301 nucleotides) under uncultured bacterium. RNAcentral describes it as "partial 16S ribosomal RNA". It matches the Rfam family "Bacterial small subunit ribosomal RNA", at positions 509 to 807 of the family's 1533-position model. The record is from RNAcentral.
CAGCAGCCGCGGGAAAACAGAGGGUGCAAGCGUUAAUCGGAAUUACUGGGCGUAAAGCGCGCGUAGGUGGUUUGUUAAGUUGGAUGUGAAAUCCCCGGGCUCAACCUGGGAACUGCAUCCAAAACUGGCAAGCUAGAGUAUGGUAGAGGGUGGUGGAAUUUCCUGUGUAGCGGUGAAAUGCGUAGAUAUAGGAAGGAACACCAGUGGCGAAGGCGACCACCUGGACUGAUACUGACACUGAGGUGCGAAAGCGUGGGGAGCAAACAGGAUUAGAUACCCGUGUAGUCCCUGUCUCUUAUAC